CAAAGGAGUGAUCCGGCAGAGGAUGGACAUGCGGCGCAUUAGCUAGUCGGCGGGUUAACGGCCCACCGAGGCUACGAUGCGUAGGGGUUCUGAGAGGAAGGUCCCCCACACUGGUACUGAGACACGGACCAGACUCCUACGGGAGGCAGCAGUGAGGAAUAUUGGUCAAUGGGCGGAAGCCUGAACCAGCCAAGUCGCGUGAGGGAAGACGGUCCUAUGGAUUGUAAACCUCUUUUGCAGGGGAGCAAGGCGCGGUACGUGUACCGCGAAGGAGAGUACCCUGAGAAAAAGCAUCGGCUAACUCCGUGCCAGCAGCCGCGGUAAUACGGAGGAUGCGAGCGUUAUCCGGAUUUAUUGGGUUUAAAGGGUGCGCAGGCGGACUGUUAAGUCAGCGGUAAAAUGUCGGUGCUCAACACCGGCCGGCCGUUGAAACUGGCAGCCUUGAGUGAGCGAGAAGUAUGCGGAAUGCGUGGUGUAGCGGUGAAAUGCAUAGAUAUCACGCAGAACUCCGAUUGCGAAGGCAGCAUACCGGCGCUCAACUGACGCUCAGGCACGAAAGCGUGGGUAUCGAACAGGCUUAGAUACCCUGGUAGUCCACGCAGUAAACGAUGAAUGCUCACUGUCCGGGCCGUUUAAGGCCUGG
Molecule: ribosomal RNA, 643 nt
Filed under: uncultured bacterium
Lineage: Bacteria
Description: bacterial SSU rRNA
Rfam family: Bacterial small subunit ribosomal RNA
Source: RNAcentral